This is a long non-coding RNA of Heterocephalus glaber (naked mole-rat), 857 nucleotides long. Lineage: Eukaryota; Metazoa; Chordata; Mammalia; Rodentia; Bathyergidae. The record is from Ensembl.
CGAGACCUCAAGUCCAUGGUUCUGGAGAGCCUUUAGUCCAGCAAAGACUCAUAGGUAAACAGUCAAUUACAGAAGAGUGAGACAUGAAGCAUGAAUAAGACUUAAUCAGUUGAUGCUAAAUGUUCAAGAGGAAAUUAUGGCACACGGAAGGUUCGUGCCUAUGGACUGCAUUUCAUACCUCCAGUUACCACAGAGUGAAUUAUGGGAAAGGACAUGCGUGACCGGACGCGGACCUGACUCAGCUGCCUGUCAGUCACGUCUUCAAUCACGCCCUGGACGACUCAGUGGGAGGCGCUCUAGACCUGGCCGGACAUCUUAAAUUGUUAAACCCAACACCUCAGCGCUUGUGACAUUUUCCUUUCAGCCACCAGGAGCCGCUCCCUCUGAGCGUACCAUCACCUGAUUAAAGCUGCUGCUGUUUCUUUACUGUAGUGUGCCACUUGCAGCUCUUUGUUCAUCAUGCACAAGAACCUAGGAACCCGUCUGCGAGGGACCUUGCCACCCACGGGCUGUGCACAGAGCGCCCACCUCGCUGUGAAUCCCGGGGUGGGGAGCAGCAGGCAAGAAAGGGGUGUCCCCCUCACCGCACAGCCCUCCUUCGGAAGAGUGUGGGGCGGCUUCCAGAAGCAGCCAUGAGCAGUCCUCCCACCCACACCUGGCUGAGGCCCAAAGCUGUGUGUGGCCAAGUGACCAGGGACUGAAACUUAUGAAACCCGGAGCCAAAAUAAACCUUUCCUCCUUAGAAGGUCCUUUGGAUGGGUGGAGGUACAGCAACCAUCCUCAAUCAUGAGGAUGAAAGGCAGGUGCUACACAUCGUGCAGGAAGCAGACAGGAGUCUAGAUCUUGCUGAAACUCCU